RNAcentral lists this long non-coding RNA (939 nucleotides) under Aplysia californica (California sea hare). RNAcentral's name for it is "uncharacterized LOC101859974, transcript variant X2". Lineage: Eukaryota; Metazoa; Mollusca; Gastropoda; Aplysiida; Aplysiidae. The record is from RNAcentral.
CAGUGUAGACGUGAGAAAACAUGGCAGAGAUGGAAAACGAUUUCCAUUUUCCGAAUCUGCGCCUUCAGCGCAAAAUGCAUAGAAUCUAGAUUCUAGAUCUAGAUUUGGAGUCUCAAGAAUAGAUUCUAACACCGAGUUUGAAAAUCAGGAGCAAAUUAUACAGGCGCAUCCAAGACAACUUUAACGUUCAACGUCAACGAUCUAAAAUCUAGAAAUCUAGUCUAGCGGGAGAUGAACCAGUUUCAACCCUGCUACCUGUAAUGAGGAAGAUCGUUUGUGAACACUCAGCCUGGUCCAGUAAAGCAACACACAAGUGUCAGAAACGAGUGAAAGGAGAGCAUUCUUGGUCCACGCUGCUGAGUCCUGAGAGUUCAGACAUUGACGUUAUCAGCCGCACUUCCUCGUUCCUAAGACCACAACCUGGGCGUCUCGGGCACAAAUUAUGGUCUCAGGGAAAAGCGCGUGUCCCCCCACCCACCCCCGCUCUCAGACUGGAACUAGAGACCCCCAAGGACCUGGGUGAUCACCGUCUGGGCCACAGGGGAGUCUGGCAGGUGUCACCCGUCCUGAGGCUUUGUUUUAUGAGACUUGUGCACUGAUCGACUCCUGGCUUUUCAACUGGGGUCUCGACACUGACUGCUUCUGUGGAAAAAAGGAGAGAGAAAAGAGCUUCUGUCACAUUGAACUGUUUAACAGUUAUAGGCGUAGCCCGACCCUCAGAGGGGUGACUCAAUGUGUACUGGAGAUGUAACAAAAGGUUAGUCAGUUUGACCUUUUCCGCAUACAAAUUAAAACAAAUUAUGCAAAUCAGAUUACAAUGGAUAUAUGGGGAAUAUGGGGAUUUCAUUGGUAACAAAAGGUUAAUCAGUUUGACCUUUUCCCCUUACAAAUUAAAACAAAUUAUGCAAAUCAAAUUACAAUGGAUAUAUGGGGAAUAUG